Molecule: ribosomal RNA, 440 nt
Filed under: uncultured bacterium
Lineage: Bacteria
Description: partial 16S ribosomal RNA
Rfam family: Bacterial small subunit ribosomal RNA
Source: RNAcentral
CCUACGGGCGGCAGCAGUGGGGAAUAUUGGACAAUGGGCGAAACCCUGAUCCAGCGACGCCGCGUGAGUGAAGAAGUAUUUCGGUACGUAAAGCUCUAUCAGCAGGAAAGAAAAUGACGGUACCUGACUAAGAAGCCCCGGCUAACUACGUGCCAGCAGCCGCGGUAAUACGUAGGGGGCAAGCGUUAUCCGGAUUUACUGGGUGGAAAGGGAGCGUAGACGGCAGCGCAAGUCUGGAGUGAAAUGCCGGGGCCCAACCCCGGAACUGCUCUGGAAACUAUGAAGCUGGAGUGCAGGAGAGGUAAGCGGAAUUCCUGGUGUAGCGGUGAAAUGCGUAGAUAUCAGGAGGAACACCAGCGGCGAAGGCGGCUUACUGGACUGUAACUGACGUUGAGGCGCGAAGGCGUGGGGAGCAAACAGGAUUAGAUACCCGUGUAGUC